GAUGAACGCUGGCGGCGUGCCUAAUACAUGCAAGUCGAGCGAACGGACGAGAAGCUUGCUUCUCUGAUGUUAGCGGCGGACGGGUGAGUAACACGUGGAUAACCUACCUAUAAGACUGGGAUAACUUCGGGAAACCGGAGCUAAUACCGGAUGAUAUUUUGAACCGCAUGGUUCAAAAGUGAAAGACGGUCUUGCUGUCACUUAUAGAUGGAUCCGCGCUGCAUUAGCUAGUUGGUAAGGUAACGGCUUACCAAGGCAACGAUGCAUAGCCGACCUGAGAGGGUGAUCGGCCACACUGGAACUGAGACACGGUCCAGACUCCUACGGGAGGCAGCAGUAGGGAAUCUUCCGCCAUGGGCGAAAGCCUGACGGAGCAACGCCGCGUGAGUGAUGAAGGUCUUCGGAUCGUAAAACUCUGUUAUUAGGGAAGAACAUAUGUGUAAGUAACUGUGCACAUCUUGACGGUACCUAAUCAGAAAGCCACGGCUAACUGCGUG
This 497-nucleotide ribosomal RNA is filed under the name uncultured bacterium. Its description in RNAcentral is "partial 16S ribosomal RNA". It matches the Rfam family "Bacterial small subunit ribosomal RNA", at positions 28 to 507 of the family's 1533-position model. The record is from RNAcentral.